GCAGAGGAGAAGGCCUGAGUGAUCCUUCAAACCCUAACGCUAAUUAAGAAAAACAUAAUAAUCAUCAGGUUCCAUGACGGAUCAUAGCCCUCCUUGAAAUCUAUGGCACUAGAAUACCUUCGGUCAAGCCAUCAUCACUAUAAUCAUCACUAUAGUGCUUAAGAACCUCAUAAUGGUUUAAGAAAUCCGAUAAAACUUUCUAGAAAAUAAUGGUGUCCUUGUCUAACGAGAAUUCGUUGUAGUCGACUAGCAAAAUUUAAUUUGAGUAAAAAUAAAAAUAAAAAAUAAAAAUCAAUCAUUUUGCCUAUCGAUUUAGUGUUAAUAUCAUGUGCAACGUUUUCUAUCAGUAUAAUAAACGAUGUUAACAAAAUAAAAUAAAUUAUUUUACUUUCAUAAAUCCCCGUCUAAAUGUCUGAAGUACAUAUACCGCAGUACUAAAAAGGUCAAUGAUCCCACCCCAUGUCAUAAUUACGAAUCCCCUCUCCCUCUCAGGCUAUAAAUUGGCCCUCCCCCAAGGUAUCAAGCAAUUCCCGCGAUCGAGCGCGUCUCCUCUUUAGCCAUUUUUAGCGUUCUGGACUUCCCCUAGGGUUUCCUUCUUCCACCCUCCUCUUCAGAAGGGUGAUCUAGAUCCAGGAGCACUUCGAGAAUUUUUAUCAGGGUGUUUUUGAGGAGCUAAGCAAGUUCAGAAAAAUUGAAAGCCUAAAUGUUUGUGACAAUCUGGCUGAUCAUUUGGUUGGUAAUGUAUAUGCUAAAUUCAGGGAUGAGGAUGAUGCUGCAAAUAUACUAGUCAACCUGAAAGGAAGAUAUUAUGACGGUGGUUUAAUAUUUAGGUGUUUUAUCUCAUGCUUAAUGCAUUUUGUCUCUUGUUUGUUAGUCUAUUACUUGUAUAUCAUAUAAUCUUUUUUCCUUUUUCUCAAAUGGGGAUUUGUUAGAACCCUUGCAUAUUCUAAACUUGGGGUUGAUCUCUUUAGGGGAUCGACCUCCUUGGAACUCUAUAGGGGUUCCUCCCUCUAAGUUGCUGCUCAAAGGCUGUAGAAAAGAUUCAUCUAUUGUUUAUGAAAAUAGGUGGAAUAUAUGACUAUUUAUAGGGCUUCUAA
This is a long non-coding RNA of Musa acuminata AAA Group (dessert banana), 1097 nucleotides long. RefSeq lists it as uncharacterized. NCBI's taxonomy places the organism in Eukaryota, Viridiplantae, Streptophyta, Magnoliopsida, Zingiberales, Musaceae. The record is from RefSeq and is a predicted model, not a curated record. The transcript is spliced from 3 exons.